GACGAACGCUGGCGGCGUGCCUAAUACAUGCAAGUAGGACGCAGUUGCGAACGGGUGAGUAAAGCGUAGGUAACUACCUAUUAGAGGGGGAUAACUAUUGGAAACGAUAGCUAAUUACGCAUACUAGUAGAUGGAACUGCGUUGUAUUAGCUAGUAGGUAGGGAAGUGGCCUACAGAGGCAACGAUACAUAGCCGACCUGAGAGAGUUAGCGGCCACACUGAGACUGAGACAAGGCCCAGACUCCUACGGGAGGCAGCAGUAGGUAAUCUUCGGCAAUGGGGGUAACCCUGACCGAGCAACGCCGCGUGAGUGAAGAUGGUUUUCGGAUCGUAAAGCUCUGUUGUUAAGGAAGCGGUACUUAACCAGAAAGGGACGGCUAACUACGUGCCAGCCGCCGCGGUAAUUC
Molecule: ribosomal RNA, 407 nt
Filed under: uncultured bacterium
Lineage: Bacteria
Description: partial 16S ribosomal RNA
Rfam family: Bacterial small subunit ribosomal RNA
Source: RNAcentral